GCCCUUGCGGAUCCCGGCCGCUGCAGAGUUUGAUCCUGGCUCAGAGCGAACGUUGGCGGCGUGGAUAAGACACGCAAGUCGAGCGAGGACUGGGGGGCAACUCCCAGAGCCGAGCGGCGUAAGGGGCAGUAAUGCGUGGGUAACGUACCCCCGGGUUCCGGAUAGCCAGCCGAAAGGCCGGGUAAUACGGAGCGACGUAGCCUGGAGGCAUCUUCGGGCUACCAAAGAUUUAUCGCCCGGGGAGCGGCUCACGUGGUAUUAGCUAGUUGGUAGGGUAACGGCCUACCAAGGCGAAGAUGCCUAGCUGGUGUGAGAGCACGACCCGCGCCACUGGCACUGAGACACUGGCCAGACACCUACGGGUGGCUGCAGUCGAGGAUCUUCGGCAAUGGGCGCAAGCCUGACCGAGCGAUGCCGCGUGCGGGAGGAAGGCCUUCGGGUUGUAAACCGCUUUCGACCGGGAGGAAUACAUGACCGACCGGUGGAAGAAGCUCGGGCUAAGUUCGUGCCAGCAGCCGCGGUAAGACGAACCGUGCGAACGUUGUUCGGAAUCACUGGGCUUAAAGGGCGCGUAGGCGGGCUGGCAAGUCCGGGGUGAAAUCCCGUGGCUCAACCACGGAACGGCCUUGGAUACUGCCGGCCUGGAGGCGGGUAGGGGCGGGCGGAACUCUGGGUGGAGCGGUAAAAUGCGUUGAUAUCCAGAGGAACUCCGGUGGCGAAAGCGGGCCCGCUGGACCUGAUCUGACGCUGAGGCGCGAAAGCCGGGGGAGCGAACGGGAUUAGAUACCCCGGUAGUCCUGNNCCUAAACGUUGGGAACUAGUAGCCGGCCUGACAUGGGCUGNUGCG
This 847-nucleotide ribosomal RNA is filed under the name uncultured bacterium. RNAcentral describes it as "bacterial SSU rRNA". It matches the Rfam family "Bacterial small subunit ribosomal RNA", at positions 1 to 848 of the family's 1533-position model. The record is from RNAcentral.